AUAGGCUGAUGGCCCACUCACCUUUUUAGCUGGGCUCCUGACCUGUCCGGCCAGAAAGUUGCCAUUGGGAAACCUGGACCCCUACUGAAUGGAUCUGCUGGCACCUAGACCUCAGAGAAAGGGGAACUGAAGACUGAAGUCUGACCACUGUUCUUUGUUGAAAAUUUCUUUCUCAGGGGCUUGGAGGGAUCACAUCUACAAUCCUGAGCUAAUAUUCUCUUAUGCUGUCCCCAAAAUUUAAACGAAGCUUCUCUUUCUUAACCCAUUGCAAAUGAGAAAAAUCUUGAAUCUCCCUAUGACUGUAAGCCCUUAUUUCAAGAUAUCCCGCCUUUUUAGGCCAAAACCAAAGUGUAACCUCCAUCUAUUGAUUUACAAUUUUGCCUGUAACUUUGGCUUUCCUGAAAUUUACCCCAGCCUUAAAAAAAAAAAAGAACAGAAAAAGAAAACUGCAAGGCAUCAGGGAGGUCAGAAUUUGGGCAUGAGCUGCCUGAUCCUCCUUGCUUUGCAUCUUUGCAAAUAGAUGCCUUCAGCUGUGCAUGAUGGCUCACACCUCUCAUCCCAGCACUUUGGGAGGCCAAGGCGGGAGGAUUGCUCCAUCCCAGGAGUUCGAGAUCAGGGGCAAAAUGCCGAAACCCUGUCUCUACAAAAAAUUUAAAAAUUAGCUGGGCAUGAUGGUGCACUUCUGUAGUCCCAGCUACUUGGGAGGCUGAGGCAGGGGGAUUCCUUGAGCCCAAGAGGUUGAGGCUACAGUGAGCCAUCAUCGUGCCACUGCACUCCAGCCUGGGAAACAGAAUGAGACCCUGUCUCAAAACAAAACAUUUGAAAAAUAACAAGUUCAGGUGCAGUGGCUCAUACCUGUAAUCCCAGCACUUUGGGAGGCCAAAGUGGUCGGAUCACUUGAGGCCAGUAGUUCAUGACCAGCCUGGCCAACAUGGCAAAACCCCAUCUCUACUAAAAAUACAAAAAUUAGCUGGGUGUGGUGGCUGGCAACUGUAGUCCCAGCUACUCCGGAGGCUGAGGCAGGAAAAUCACUUGAACCCAGGAGGCGGAGGUUGAAGUGAGCCGAGAUCACACCACUGCACUCCAGCCUGGGCAACAGAGCAAGACUCCGUCUCCAAAAAUAACAAAAAAUAAACACAUGCCUUCCUUCCUACUGCUGCACAACCUCACUGUGUCAGGCAGGCAUCUCUGGAUCCAGCUGGUUUUUGUUUUGCUGAGGCUCGGCUUCUUCCUGGAACUUUUUGAAACAACACUCAAGGGUCUCAAAUGGCUGACAUGAUGGUCUGUGACCUGAAAGUUGUUGAAUAGUUGGAGUGUUCUGCAUUCAUGUGGAAGAGGCUAAAGGAUGUUUGAUGAAGCACUAUGGGCUGCCCUGGAAGAGGACUGAAGAAGCAGCUGCAGGAAAGAAACGUCCACUCUGCUCCAGUCAACCCCACUGCUGGUGUCCUCUGCACUGCCUUGCACUCCCUGAAGAGAGCCUGGGCAACAGAGCGAGACUCCAUCUC
Molecule: long non-coding RNA, 1505 nt
Filed under: Pan troglodytes (chimpanzee)
Lineage: Eukaryota; Metazoa; Chordata; Mammalia; Primates; Hominidae
Description: lincRNA
Source: RNAcentral